RNAcentral lists this ribosomal RNA (430 nucleotides) under bacterium. RNAcentral's name for it is "partial 16S ribosomal RNA". It matches the Rfam family "Bacterial small subunit ribosomal RNA", at positions 355 to 776 of the family's 1533-position model. RNAcentral also lists the same sequence under 1 other name. The record is from RNAcentral.
UGGGGAAUAUUGGACAAUGGGCGCAAGCCUGAUCCAGCCAUGCCGCGUGUGUGAAGAAGGCCUUUUGGUUGUAAAGCACUUUAAGCGAGGAGGAGGCUACUUGGAUUAAUACUCUAGGAUAGUGGACGUUACUCGCAGAAUAAGCACCGGCUAACUCUGUGCCAGCAGCCGCGGUAAUACAGAGGGUGCGAGCGUUAAUCGGAUUUACUGGGCGUAAAGCGUGCGUAGGCGGCUUCUUAAGUCGGAUGUGAAAUCCCUGAGCUUAACUUAGGAAUUGCAUUGGAUACUGGGAAGCUAGAGUAUGGGAGAGGAUGGUAGAAUUCCAGGUGUAGCGGUGAAAUGCGUAGAGAUCUGGAGGAAUACCGAUGGCGAAGGCAGCCAUCUGGCCUAAUACUGACGCUGAGGUACGAAAGCAUGGGGAGCAAACAGG